CCUACGGGGGGCAGCAGAGGGGAAUAUUGCACAAUGGGCGCAAGCCUGAUGCAGCCAUGCCGCGUGUGUGAAGAAGGCCUUCGGGUUGUAAAGCACUUUCAGCGGGGAGGAAGGCGGUGAGGUUAAUAACCUCAUCGAUUGACGUUACCCGCAGAAGAAGCACCGGCUAACUCCGUGCCAGCAGCCGCGGUAAUACGGAGGGUGCAAGCGUUAAUCGGAAUUACUGGGCGUAAAGCGCACGCAGGCGGUCUGUCAAGUCGGAUGUGAAAUCCCCGGGCUCAACCUGGGAACUGCAUUCGAAACUGGCAGGCUAGAGUCUUGUAGAGGGGGGUAGAAUUCCAGGUGUAGCGGUGAAAUGCGUAGAGAUCUGGAGGAAUACCGGUGGCGAAGGCGGCCCCCUGGACAAAGACUGACGCUCAGGUGCGAAAGCGUGGGGAGCAAACAGGAUUAGAUACCCGAGUAGUC
RNAcentral lists this ribosomal RNA (465 nucleotides) under uncultured Klebsiella sp. RNAcentral describes it as "bacterial SSU rRNA". It matches the Rfam family "Bacterial small subunit ribosomal RNA", at positions 338 to 795 of the family's 1533-position model. Lineage: Bacteria; Pseudomonadati; Pseudomonadota; Gammaproteobacteria; Enterobacterales; Enterobacteriaceae. The record is from RNAcentral.